This 11736-nucleotide long non-coding RNA is filed under the name Pan troglodytes (chimpanzee). Its description in RNAcentral is "long non-coding RNA NONPTRT016479". The record is from RNAcentral. Lineage: Eukaryota; Metazoa; Chordata; Mammalia; Primates; Hominidae.
GAAUUUUUGUAGUUCUGUGAAGACUGAUGUUGGUACUUUAAUGGGGAUUACAUUGAGUUUGUAGAUUGCUUUUGGCAGUAUGGUAUUUUCACAAUAUUGAUUUUACCCAUCCGUGAGCAUGGGAUAUGUUUCCAUUUCUUUGUAUCUAUGAUUUCUAUCAGCAGUGUUUUGUAGUUUUCCUUGUAGAGGUCUUUUGUCUCUUUGGUUAAGUAUUCCGGAUAUAAUUAAGAUUUUGUCUGCAAAGAUUGCAUGCAAUUGACAAUUAUAGGAAUAUACUAUUAUAAUUAUAGGAAUUAUAAUAUUCCUAAGGUUUUUAUUGCAACUAUUGUAAAAGGGGGUGAGUUUUUUAUUUAAUUCUCAGCUUGUUCACUAUUACUGUAUAGCAGAGCCACUGACUUGUGUACAUUAAUUUUUUAUCCUGAAACUUUGCUGAAUUCAUUUACCAGUUCUAGUAGCUUUUGGGAUGAGUCUUUAGGGUUUUCUAGGUAUACGAUCAUGUCAUCAGCAAAGAGUGACAGUUCGACUUUCUCUUUACCGAUUUGGAUGCCCUUUAUUUCUCUUAUCUGAUUGCUCUGGCGAGGACUUCUAGUACUAUGUUGAAUAGAACUGGUGAAAGUUGACAUCAUUGUCUUGUUCCAGUUUCAGGGGGAAUGCUUUCAACUUUUCCCCAUUCCAUAUAAUGUUGGCUGUGUGUUUGUCAUAUAUGGCUUUUAUUACCUUAAGAUAUGUCCCUUCGAUGUUGAUUUUGCUAAGGGUUUUAAUCAUAAAGGGAUUCUGGAUUUUGUCAAAUGCUUUUUCUAUGUCAAUUUUGCUGAGGGUUUUAGGCAUAAAGGGAUGAUGGAUUUUGUCAAAUCCUUUUUCUGCAUGUAUUGAGAGGAUCAUGUGAUUUUUGUUUUUAAUUCUGUUUAUAUGGUGUAUCACAUUUAUUGACUUGCAGAUGUUUAACCAUCCUGCAUCCCUGGUUUCUCUUCAGAUCGUAUACCUCUUUCACCUUAUGAUGGUUAAUUUUAUUUGCCAAGUUGGGUUGCCUAGAUAUUUGGUUAAACUCCCUGGAUGUGUCUGUGAGGGUGUUCCUUGAUGAGACGAACAUUUGAAUAUGUAGACUUAGUAAAGUAAUUGCCCUCCCCAGUGUGAGUGGGCCUCAUCCAAUCCAUUAAAACCCAAAUAAAACACAAGGGUAGAGGAAGAGAGAAUUCACUCUCUUUGAUGAUUUCAGAGCUGAGACGUAGAUCUUCUCUCGACUUUGAAGUCAGACGUGGACUGUAACUUAUGCCAUCAGCUUUCCUGGUUCUCAGGACUUUAGGCUUGGACUGGAACUCCAACAUUGGCAGUCCUGGUUCUCCAGCUUGCUGACUGCAGGUCCUGGGACUUCUUAGCCUCCAUAACCACAUGAGCCAAUCCCUUAUAAUAAACCUAUAUAUAUUCAUGCAACUGAUAAAUAUUUUGUUGUUACAGAUUUGGCUACCAUGUUCUUCUGGUGCCUAUUUUAACAGAGUCUCAGUCAUAGCCUUCCUUCGUCUCUGAAGGGACCAGGCGACCCACGGAGUGCCUCGGCAGCCUUGUCAUUACAUGCAAUCUUCACAGACAAGAUCUCACUGCAACCACCUUUCUACAGGAGCACAGGAAACACUGGCCUCCUUCAUCCUUAGUCUGUGUUGCUGGAAGUCACCCGUCUCCGAGGCCCCUUGGGAUCGACUGAGUGACCAGCAGUGAAGUUCGUCCACCUCCUGAAUGGAUGCCAUCAUCUGACGUGAUGGAGCUCAGUGGGAUGCUGCUGCCUUCCCUCGCUUAGCUAGGAUGUCCCUGAUAAAGGAUGACACCAAAGCCUCAGCACGACUGGCCAAACUUGAGGUGGUCAUCUCAGCACUGAUGCUGGGCCAACAAUUAGCCCCAUUUGUACAUUUUUACAAAUUUUUGGCAAUUGCCAAGAAUUCUCCACCUUCCCUCCCCAUUGAAUUAAAGAAACUUCUUGCCUCAUGGAUACUCAGAAUACAGUCAAGGUAACAGAUGCCUUUUUUUUUUUAACCAAGGACACAGUACGGAUCUCACAGGGACACUCCUUAUCCCCUGCAGAGAGUUCCAGACACUACUGAUGGUGACCAAGGCAACAUUUCAUCAGAAAACACAGUGCUAGGCUUGUGAAAGUGUCCAGUAGGGCUUCUACUGCCCCUAUAGGCUGCAGGCAGCUGCUUUAGUUGAGAGAUAGACUGAGCUCCUCAAAGAAUCCCUAUUUAAGUUACGAAGCAGCGAGUGGACGCCCUGCUGGGUUCCACUGUUGCCACAGGCUUUGAUUACUCUUAAGUUCAUGCUUCUUAGGAAAUUGCACUUUUUACACCAAUGCUACACAGUUCCCUCAGUUGCCUUUACUGGACAUCAAGGAGUUCACAUUUUUGACAACCAUUCAGUCCUGGACUGUCCAAGGGGUGGAGGUAGCUCCGUACAGGAAGCUGCCUGCUGCGUGUGGAUCAGUAAUAUCAGACUUGCCCAACAACUCACUGGAGACAUGAAAACCAAUGCAUGGGGGAUGCAUGACGUCACCCAAAUAUUUAUGAACACGCUUGUGCUGCCAGAGACCCCAGAUCUCUAAACCAAUGCAUGGGGAAUGCAUGAUGUCACCCAAAUAUUUAUGAACAGGCUUGUGCUGCCAGAGACCCCAGAUCACUUUUCCUGCCUCCUGCUAAAUAAAUGGGGGCAGUAGAUUUGCAUCGGUUUCCACAUUACAUUACUCAUAACUGUGGCCUUCCUAAUUUCUCAUAUCCCUAAGCACUUAUUACAAUGUCUCAGCAGCUUUCUCUCAGCCUCUCAAAAUAUUAGUCAUCAUGAAAAUAAAUGUCUGAUGUUAAAGCAUCAGGGGUCAAUUGUAUUGUGACACCUAAAAUUUCAUGCAGCACCCCACCAUGUUCUCAGCCUAAUGGCUUUCAUGGCCCCACCAGACUGCAAAACUCUGAAUUAGUCAAGCACAUCCCUGAAGGGACCAGGGGUUACUCCACCCUCUGAUUUCUAUCAAGCCUGCCUCCCACACCCUCUGUUCCAGAGUGCAACCCUGGGUAGACCUGCAUAAAUGCAGUGUCAUCCCCCUGGCUGAGUAUGUUUGACGAGUAAAUUACUGGGAAUUUCAUCUGCUCAGUGUUUGUUUUGUCUGCAGCCAUUCCCAGAAUUCUAGGCCAAUGGGGUGAACAGGAAGGAACCCAAGUAGGAAUUGCCUUUUUAAAAAAAUCCCUUCCCACCCUCUUAAUUAUGUAAUGCAUGCAUUUUUAUAGCUUUUUUGCUCAUUCCAUUACCUGAGGUCAGCCACUGAUAUUUAACCCAUCCUUAGCCUCGGAGGAGGGCAGAGGAGCACUGGUCAUAUUGAUUUCCCUAGCGGUGACAUGAUUUCCUCCUGUGCCACUCAAAUUCUCUCCUUCUUUAACUUGAUGCUCAGUAGGUUGUGUUUCUCUCGUCUUUGCAGAUUGUUAGGAAGAUGAGAAUCAGCUUUCAUUUUUGAUGUUGCCAUAGAGAAGCCUCCAUGGUAAUGUUUAUUUGCACAAUCAACUUUUUCUUUUCCCCCAGAAAUUGCAAAUUCUUAUGUGAGAGACAGCUUUCUGGAGUCUGCAAAUAUAGAGUAUCGUCUCUCUUUUGAUGGUAAAUUUAUUAUAUCCCCACCAUCAAUAAAAUACUUACAUAUAAUUUUGGCAUGUCAUAUUGAUUGCCAACUACACAUAAGAACAUUCCUUGAUUUUAAAUCUAGACUAAUUAUGAAAAUUUGGGUAGUCACAAAAAAUUAUUGUGCACAAAUUUAUAGACCUUAGGAUUAAAUGAGUUACUAUUAACUAAUAUUUAUUGUGCAGUCAGUGUAUGGCAGAAGCUUACUAUCUACUAUUUCAUUUUAUACUUAAAACAGUAUUCUAUGCAAAAUGCUAUAAUUUCACCAUGCCUCUAAUUUGGACAUGAUAAAACUGGGUCUUGUAAAGUUUUCACCCCAGAGUUCUCUGCUUAGUAAGAAGUAGAAAUAAGUUUAAACUUAAAUUAUCUGAUUUCAGAGCCCAUAUAGUUAAAUGCUCUAAAUGCAGCUUCCCCUGGUGAUGGUGACUAUGAGAGCCUGUCACAUAUGAUGUAGGACAGUGCUUCCCUGUAACAUGCACAAGAUUCCCGUGAUGAUGGUGACUAUGACAGCCUGUCAGAUACUAUGUAGGACAGUGCUUCCCUUUAAUAUGCACAGGAUUCCCGUGAUGAUGAUGACUAUGACAGCCUGUCACAUAUGAUGUAGGACAGUGCUUCCCCGUAACAUGCAGAGGAUUCCCGUGAUGACGGUGACUAUGAGAGCCUGUCACAUAUGAUGUAGGACAGUGCUUCCCCGUAACAUGCAGAGGAUUCCCGUGAUGACGGUGACUAUGAGAACCUGUCACAUAUGAUGUAGGACAGUGCUUCCCUGUAACGUGGGCAAGAUUCCCAUGAUGAUGGUGACUAUGAGAGCCUGUCAGAUACUAUGUAGAACAGUGCUUCCCUGUAACAUGCACAAGAUUCUUGUGAUGAUGGUGACUAUUUGAGCCUGUCACAUAUGAUGUAGGACAGUGCUUCCCUGUAACUUGCCCAAGAUUCCCGUGAUGAUGGUGACAAUGACAGCCUGUCAGAUACUAUGCAGAACAGUGCUUCCCUGUAACAUGCAGAAGAUUCCCGUGAUGAUGGUGACUAUUUGAGCCUGUCACAUAUGAUGUAGGACAGUGUUUCCCUGUAACAUGCACAAGAUUCCCGUGAUGAUGGUGAAUAUGACAGCCUGUCACAUAUGAUGUAGGACAGUGCUUCCCUGUAACAUGCAGAAGAUUCCCGUGAUGAUGGUGACUAUUUGAGCCUGUCACAUAUGAUGUAGGACAGUGUUUCCCUGUAACAUGCACAAGAUUCCCGUGAUGAUGGUGAAUAUGACAGCCUGUCACAUAUGAUGUAGGACAGUGCUUCCCUGUAACGUGUGCAAGAUUCCCGUGAUGAUGGCGACUAUGAGAGCCUGUCAGAUACGAUGUAGGACAGUGUUUCCCUGUAACAUGCACAAGAUUCACCCUGGCAUCUUCUUAUUAAAAUGCAAACUCAUGGACCACACUUUGACUAGCUAAGACAAGAGCAUUUAAAUGGAUGUCCAGGUGACAUUGCUAAGAUCCUACUCUUCAUGUGGGCACUGGCUCACCAUAUUAAUGAAGCUUAGGACCUCCAGUCCCUGCUGGAAAAGAAAUACAGAUACAUAGGAUAUGACUGUGCAUAUGGAAUGUCUGUUGUGUUCUCGACAUUGUACUAGACACUAGAGAUAAAAAAUCAAAUAUCCCUUGCCUCUUUCUGAAAGGAGCUUCCUACACAGUGGCUUCUGACUGCAGUGUAUAUUUUCUCUUCUGUCCUGGGUGGGUGAGCUCUAUCUCAAUGUUGGUAACUGAACACUGCCCAGUGGGUUUGAUGGGGGAGAUCACAGCUAGCUGCGCUCCCACAUAGCUAUGACCACAGCAUACCUCGUGAUGCCAUUUCCCCCUUGUCAGAAGCCUCCCUCCAGUAUCAUACACGCUCCCCAUGAUUAUAAAUUCUUCCUCCUUCCACUAAAUGUUCCUAAAUCUUGCAAAGAUAAAAACAUAAACCACAUUCUUGUCAUAUUAGUUAUAUAUUAAUGAUGAAAGUUCCUUACUUUUCUUUCUUAUUUUUUUGCGACGGAGUCUCGCUCUGUCCCCAGGCUGGAGUGCAAUGGCGUGAUCUCGGUUCCCUGCAAGCUCUGCCUCCCAGGUUCAUGCCAUUCUUCCGCCUCAGCCUUCCGAGUAGCUGGGACUACAGGCACCCACCACCACCCCUGGCUAAUUUUUUUGUAUUUUUAGUAGAGACGGGGUUUCACCAUGUUAUCCAGGAUGGUCUUGAUCUCCUGACCAUGUGAUCCGCAAGCCUCGGCCUCCCAAAGUGCUGGGAUUACAGGCAUGAGCCACCGCACCCAGCCCAAGUUCCUUAUUUUUCAUGUGUUUAAUAUUUUCUCCCAAUUUAUAGAAUAUAUUGAUUAAGAAUAAAUUUUAGCCAUGCACAUCUUUUACAAACUUCAUGAUAUACUUUGCUAUAUUUAAAUUUCUUAUACUCUUAUAAAAUGUGUGUUCUGAUCUCACGUUGGCUUCCAUUUCUUCCCUCUGGCUUCUAUAAGUUUAGGCUAUGAGCAGAGAUGGACGAGGUGGCUACUGUAAUAGAUCAAGGCUAUGAGCAGAGAUGGAUGUGAGGCAGCGGCUGUAAUGGAUUAAGGCUAUGAGCAUCUUGUGAAGUAGGAUGUAAAAUCUGUAAAUGUCAGAAUGAAUCCAAAGUUAUCAAUUCAAAGCUGGAUUGUAAAACAGCUCAAAAAAAGACUGAAAACACAGCUCUACACUUUAGGAGGCUGAGGCAGGCAGAUUGCUUAAGUUCAAGAGUUGGAGACAAGUCUAAGAAACAUGGAAAAACCGUCUCUACAAAAAAAAAUUUUUAAUUAGGAGGGUAUGGUGGUAUGAGCCUGUGGUCCCAGCUUUUCAGGAGGCUGAGGUGAGAGGAUUGCUUGAGCCCAGAAGGUAGAGGCUGCAGUGAGCUCCGAUCACGCCACUGCAUUUCAGCCUAGGUGACAGAGUGAGACCUGUCUCAAAAACAAACAAAAAUAACAAACAAAAACAGCUCUAAACAAAAGUGGCUAGAAAAGUAGCUCAAGUUGUUCCUGUCUGGUUAAAUAGAAACAUAAAUGAACUACUUAUGUGCCCCAGUGGCUUCAUAAUGCUGAGAGGAAAGUCAAUUAUUCUAGCAGGUUCUAGAAAACUUUAUCAUAUCAUGGGGUUCAAUGAAAAUAUCAAAUCAUAAAUAUAAUAGUCAAAUCUGAAAGUGAAUCUAGUUUCAAAGACCUCAGAAGCCAGUGUGUAGGAAGCUCUUUUCAGAUAGAGACAAAGGAUUAUUUGACUUCUUAUCUCUGUUGUCUAGCACAAUGUCCAGAACACAACAGAUAUUCCAUAUGCACAGUCACAUCCUAUGUAUGUGUAUUUCUUUUCCAGCAAGGAAUAGAGGUCCUAGGCUUUGUUUAUAUGGUGAGCCAGUGCCCAAAUGAGCAGCAGAAUCUUAGCACAGUCAGCUACACACUCAUUUCAAAGCUCUGGCCUCUUAUCCAAGCUUGUCAAAGUGUGGGCUAUGGUUUUGCAUUUUAAGGGAUCCCCGGGUGAAACUUGUGGCUGUCAAAGGAGGAGAAGCACUGCCCUCAAAAUAUAGAAAAGGUGAACUAAUUUAUACAGGCAGGUGGCUGUUUAUUUAUGUAUUUAUUUAUCUUGUUGAUGGGAAGAUUCAAAUUGACAUACACAAUCACCCCUAUAAGGAUUUCAGGUAAAAAACAAACAAAGGUUUAGAUAUCAGAUGUGUUUUACAAUUACCACACCAGUCUUUUUACUACAGAAUCUAGUAGCAUAUUUCCAAUAGAUCUAGGUGAAAAUUUCUAUCUCAUGACCCUUCUGUCAGUAUUUUUAAAAUUGGGUACUCCAUUAGUGGCAAAAUUGAAUCUCUUACAGGCAUCUCACUCAAACUGCAGUCAUACUUUCCAAUAGGCCCCAUAAAAAUCCUUGUUCUGGAGCAAUCUAAUAUAUUUAUCCACCUCUUUAGACACUUAGGUAAGUAUAAUAAUACAAGUUGUGUGUGUGUGUGUGUGUGUGUGUGUGUGUGUGUAUUGUGUACCUUGUGGCCUCUUGUCCAGUUUCUGCAACACCUGAAUCUGAGGCAAGUUUAAUGUAAAUAACAUCCAGCAAUGUCAGAAAUGUUGACUUUUAUGUGCCCAUCAGGAAAAAAGGAUGAAUGUUAUUGUAGAGUAAAUUUUCAAUCUGGAAAAAAUGCAUACUGUUUGAAUGUUGCUUUCAUGCUUUCCACAGAUAUUAUACACAGAUAUUAUAUUCCAAGGAUUAUGUUUCAAAGUCUUCAAAAAUAGAAAAUUCAUUUUAUAUUUCUAGCUGAAAAUAAAAACAGUAAUUAGCCUACCUUUGGGGAAAUGUGAUAAAAAUACUAAUGACCAUCACAACUCAUUAAAAGCAUAAAAUGUGCAAUGAUUUAAACUACAUGUUCUUUCUAUGAAUCUGCAUAGAAAUAUAGACACAUUUGAUAAAUGCUAUUUAAAGUCUGAGUGCUUUGGUAAAUGAUUCAUCUAUAGGUUGAAGGGAUUACUUUUAUCUGCCUUCAUAGUGAGAAUUAGAUUUCUAUUCUUUAUAAAGCAGGGAAUACAGAUUGUGCAUGGAGUAAAAGCCUUCAAUCCUUAUUAAUAAUGAUGGUAGCUGCGCUGCAGAAAAGAAAGCCUGUCAGAGUAACGUGUUCAGUUUUACAUCAUAAUCAGAGGUAUGUCGAUCUCUGUUGAAGGCAGAAUUAAAAACGCCUUCAACGUUUUUAAAAUAAUAGAUGAAAAACAUCUCAACGUCACUUUUAAAAUUUGAAUUGACGAUUCCACAUAACAGGAAAAGGACCAAGACCAUCUUAAAUACUUCAUGAUGGAAGUGAUGUUUUAAGUGCAAUUUCAUCAAGGAGAAGUUUUUCCAGAAAGUCUUUUGACCUCAGUAAGAAGCUUAUUUACUCUGGUAAAUAAUUUAUCGUAAGAUGAGAAAGACUCGAUUUUUUAAAAACAAUAAAAAAUUUACAUGGUUUAAUCUAAUGUUGUGAUUUCGAAAGUACUACUUUUGCCCUUAUAGUUACGCUUGUGUAUUUAUAUGCAUUUUUUUGGUUCAUUCAAAUGCCAAUAAAAUACUUUACUAUCCAGGCUCCUUAAAAGCCAAAUUAAUUUCUAAAAGUGAGGAUUGUAUGUAUGCUGUGAGGUGUGCGCAGGUGUAUGUGUGUGAUGUGUAUGUAUGGUGUGUGUUUGUGGUCUUUGUGUGUAGUAGGUUCAUGGGGUAUGUAUAUGUGUGUGUAGUGUGUAUUGUGGGUGUUAUGUGUGUAUACUGUGUGUAGUUUGUGGGUGGUGCAUGGUGUGUAUAUGUGCUGUGUUUGUGGUGUAUGUGUGUGUGGUGGGUGUGUACUACGUGUGGUGUGGUGUGCGUAUGAUAUAUGUGUGUGCAGUUUGUGGUUUAUGUGAUGUGUGUGUGUAUGGUGCUGGAUGUGUGUGUACUGUGUGUAGUGUUUGAUGUGUGAUGAGUGUAGAAUGUGUGGUGUGUGUGUGCACAGUAUGUGUGGUGUGUAUGUGAUGUGUGUGCUCUGUGUGGUGCUAUAUAUACGUGUGCAGUGUGUGGGGAGUAUGUGUGGGGCGUGUGUUUGAUGUGUGUGGGGAGUAUGGGGUGUGUGUGGUGCUGUAUGUGUAUGUUGUGUGUGUAGUAGAUUCUUGUGUGUGGUGUAGUGUGUGCGGUGUGUGGGGGGUAUGCGUGUGUGCACAUUGUGCAUUGUGGUGUGGGGAUGUGUGUGCAUGUGCACAUGGUGUGUGUGCAGUGUGUGUGGUGUCUGGGGUGUGUGUGUGCACAUGGUGUGUGUGUGGCGUAUCAGGGGUGUGCGUGUGUGCACCUGGUCUGUGUGCAGUGUAUGUGUCUGUGGUGGGGUGUGUGCACGUGCACAUGGUGUGUGGUGUGUGUGAUGUUUGGGGGUUUGUGUGCAUGUAUACAUGGUGUGUGUGCAGUGUGUGAUGUCUGUGUUGGGUGUGUGUGUACGUGGUAUGUGUGCAGUAUGUGUGGUGUGUGGGGGUGUGUGUGCGUGUAUGCAUGUUGUGCUGUGUGCAGUGUGUGUGGUGUCUGUGUGGUGUAUGUGUGGGGCAUGUGUGCUUGUGUACACUGUGUGUGGUGUGUGUGUGGUGUGUGCAUGUACACGGUGUGGCAUGUGCAGUGUGGUGGGCUGUGUGCAGUGUGUGGUGUCUGUGUGUGGGGUGUGUGUGCACAUGGAGUGGUGUGUGCGGUGUGUAGUCUCUGGGGUGUGUGCGUGUGCACGUGUGUGUGUGCAGUGUGGGGUGUGUAUACGUGCACAUGGUGUGUGUGCAGUGUGUGUGGUGUUUGUGCACAUGGUGUGUGUGCAGUGUGUGGUGUCUGUGUGAUGUGUGUGCAUGUGCUCAUGAGGUAUGUGCAGUGUGUAUGGUGUCUGGGUUGUGUGUGUGCAUAUGGUGUGGUGUGUGCAGUGGGUGUGGUGUCUGGGGUGUGUGUGCAGUGUGUGCGGUGUCUGUGGGGUGUGUAUGCAUGUGUGGGGGGAAAAGAAAAAGAUCAGACUGUUACUGUGUCUAUGUAGAAAGAAGUAGACAUAAGAGACUCCAUUUUGUUCUGUACUAAGAAAAAUUCUUCUGCCUUGAGAGGCUGUUAAUCUGUAACCGUACCCCCAACCCUGUGCUCCCUGAGACAUGUGCUGUGUCAAGUCAAGGUUAAAUGGAUUAACGGCUGUGCAGGAUGUGCUUUGUUAAACAAAUGCUUGAAGGCAGCAUUCUUGUUAAGAGUCAUCACCACUCCCUACUCUCAAGUACCCAGGGACACAAAACACUGCGGAAGGCCACAGGGAACUCUGCCUAGGAAAGCCAGGUAUUGUCCAAGGUUUCUCCCCAUGUGAUAGUCUGAAAUAUGGUCUCAUGGGAAGGGAAAGACCUGACCAUCCCCCAGCCUGACACCUAUAAAGGUUCUGUGCUGGGGAGGAUUAGUAAAAAGGAAGGCCUCUUUGCAGUUGAGAUAAGAGGAAGGCAUCUGUCUCCUGCUUGUCCCUGGGCAAUGGAAUAUCUCAGUGUAAAGCCCAGUUGUAUAUUCCAUCUACUGAGAUAGGGGAAAACUGCCUUAGGGCUGGAGGUGGGACAUGCUGGCAACAAUACUGCUCUUUAAGGCAUUGAGAUGUUUAUGUAUAUGAACAUCAAAAGCACAGCACUUUUUUCUUUACCUUGUUUAUGAUGCAGAGACAUUUGUUCAUAUGUUUUCCUGCUGACCUUCUCUCCACUAUUACCCUAUUGUCCUGCCACAUCCCCCUCUCUGAGAAACGCCUGAUAAUGAUCAAUAAAUACUAAGGGAACUGAGAGACUGGUGCCAGCGUGGGUCCUCCGUAUGCUGAGCGCCAUUCCCCUGGGCCCACUUUUCUUUCUCUAUACUUCGUCUCUGUGUCUCUUUUCUCAAGUCUCUUGUUCCACCCGAUGAGAAACGCCCACAAGUGUGGAGGGGCAGACCACCCCUUCACGUGUGCACAUGGUGUGUGUGCUGUUUGUGUGGUGUCUGUGUGUGGGGUGUGUGUGCACAUGGUGUGGUGUGUGCAGUGUGUGUUAUGAGUGACUGCUUCUCUUAGCAUGUGGACAUCAGUCUUCCAGACCAGCUUUCUCCAUGUGUCUGGGAACAUAAGAAACAAGUUUCUGCAAUAAUUGUUACACAGCUUUUCCAGAGAGGUACCAAAUCUCUGUCGUGAGUGGAUAUCUGCGUCAUUGCAGGAGGGAAUGUGAUGUCCUGGUUUGGCUCACACCCUCUGAGGGCUUAGGCAGGGUUCCUGAUGGAUCCCUCACUGUGGCCAGAGACGGAGGGCUCUGUUUCACCAUAGGGCACCGGAAGAGGACUGGUGCGUGGGAAGACCAGGUAAUCAUAAUGGUAGUAAUAAUAGUGGUAAUAAUACUGUUUUAUACAUUGUAUAUGUCAUAAGGAUUUUAAGUUUCAUCUAACAUAAUUGUUGUAAAAAUGUCCCCAGUUUGUUUUGUCCUAUUUACUUGGUGUGGAAAUGUGUAAGAAUGUACGUUUUAGGUACGUUAGGUUUAUUCCUUUUUAUAUAGUUUCUGUUUGCAAUUUUGAUUUUAGAAGACAUUCAUUCAUUCUCAAGGUCAUAAAACACAGGUACAUCUAAUUUUCU